GUGAGCGUAGUUCAAACGGUUAGAGCACCGGAUUGUGGUUCCGGAUGUUGGGGGUUCGAGUCCCCUCGCUCACCCCA
Molecule: transfer RNA, 77 nt
Filed under: Synergistaceae bacterium
Lineage: Bacteria; Thermotogati; Synergistota; Synergistia; Synergistales; Synergistaceae
Description: tRNA-His
Rfam family: tRNA
About the family: Transfer RNA (tRNA) molecules are approximately 80 nucleotides in length. Their secondary structure includes four short double-helical elements and three loops (D, anti-codon, and T loops).
Source: RNAcentral